RNAcentral lists this long non-coding RNA (226 nucleotides) under Brassica rapa (field mustard). RNAcentral describes it as "long non-coding RNA (BRAP_LNC005051)". The record is from RNAcentral. Lineage: Eukaryota; Viridiplantae; Streptophyta; Magnoliopsida; Brassicales; Brassicaceae.
GCCAAGAUAGAGAUCCAUUUUUUCUCACGCUCUUCAACAUUUUACUUAUACAAUAGCUUUUAAAAGUUAUCUAUUUUCUUAUGUGACACUCUGACCCACUGAUCCGACCAUUUUCUGGUCAUUUCACCACCAAACUCUUGUUUUACUCAUUUUCACCUAUAGUUCCAUCCCAAAAAGCCAAGCCUCAAUGGAUUCAUCUUUCUUUCGGACCGUUUAGCCGUGCCCC